RNAcentral lists this transfer RNA (69 nucleotides) under Ictidomys tridecemlineatus (thirteen-lined ground squirrel). RNAcentral describes it as "Spermophilus tridecemlineatus (thirteen-lined ground squirrel) tRNA". It matches the Rfam family "tRNA". From Rfam's summary of the family: Transfer RNA (tRNA) molecules are approximately 80 nucleotides in length. Their secondary structure includes four short double-helical elements and three loops (D, anti-codon, and T loops). Lineage: Eukaryota; Metazoa; Chordata; Mammalia; Rodentia; Sciuridae. The record is from Rfam by way of RNAcentral.
GGGGUUGUGGCUCAGUGGUAAAGCGUUUGCCUAGCAUGCAAGAGGCACUGGGUUUGAUCCUCAGCACCA